UGGUGGUUGGGCUGAAACGGGCGGUCACUUCGAUACGAACGGCGAUCGUGUAGCUGAUGGUGGCUUCUACACCAUGACGACGAAUGCGGACGGUUCUAUUAAUCAUGCUGGUAUUGAGAAGUUCGCAACUUCUGCCGUUGA
This 141-nucleotide transfer RNA is filed under the name Vibrio alginolyticus 12G01. RNAcentral describes it as "tRNA-Arg". Lineage: Bacteria; Pseudomonadati; Pseudomonadota; Gammaproteobacteria; Vibrionales; Vibrionaceae. The record is from RNAcentral.